Molecule: long non-coding RNA, 1905 nt
Filed under: Oreochromis niloticus (Nile tilapia)
Lineage: Eukaryota; Metazoa; Chordata; Actinopteri; Cichliformes; Cichlidae
Description: lncRNA (ENSONIG00000032635.1)
Source: RNAcentral
AUGGCUACAAACAGCAUGUCCAUCCAAUUGCGCAAAGGUAAGGCAAUCACCAAGGAUGGAUGUAGAAUUUGUAACAGAAUGCUUCAAAAUAAAGACGAAGUGGAGAGACUAAUAAAUAACAAAGAUGCAACACGCUUCAUGAAACCUCUGAGAGGUACUCCAGCCUAUUGGGAGAAGGCACUGAAAGAUCUGCAUGCUAUGGUCAGACAGUUAGGAAAGCCAACUUUUUUCCUGACAUUUUCAGCUGCUGAAAUGAGAUGGCCUGAGGUUGUUGAGGUCAUAAAAACUCAACAAGGUGAACAAGUGGAUUUUUCACAACUUGACUGGAACACAAAGUGUGAAAUUCUCCGAAGCAACCCUGUGACUGUGAUGCGAUUGUUUGAAAAAAGAGUCGAUGCACUAAUGACAACACUGAUCCUGUCCCCAGCACAGCCCAUCGGUGAAGUAGAAGAUUACUUUUAUCGAGUGGAGUUUCAGGCCAGAGGUAGCCCUCAUAUCCAUUUACUGGUUUGGGUCAAAGAUGCACCUAAAUUUGGAAGCGACCUUGAGGACCAUGUGUACAAAUUUAUUGACAAGUACAUAACAUGUAAGAUGCCUGACCAAAAUGCCGAUCCUGAACUUCACAAAAUUGUGUCUGAGGUUCAAGUCCACAGCAGAAAUCACUCCAGAUCCUGUAAAAAAGGUAAUGUGUCAUGUAGGUUUGGGUUCCCCAAACUACCCGUAGACCAAACAAUGAUCACUUUCCCAAGCCCAGAUGAUGACGAUCACAAUGAUAAGCGGCAUAGCACAAGUAAGGAGAAAGGCACAAAUGAAAAACAAAAGCAAAAAAACAGACGAAUGGCUCUCGCAAAAAAACAGAAAGAGGCCAAAGAAAAACUCCAGCCAUUGAGAGAUUUGCUCUGUGACCCAAAUUCCUCAUUUGAAGACUUGUCUGAGCUGCUUCACAAAUGCAAAUUAACUUAUGAACAAUACUUGGAUUGUGUCUUCAAUUUAAGCAAUGGCCAUGUCAUCCUCUUAAAGCGUGAACCUAAUGACUGCUGGGUGAAUGCAUACAAUGCAGAUCUGCUGAGGGCCUGGAAUGCCAACAUGGACAUCCACUAUGUCAUUGAUGACUACAGCUGCCUGAUGUAUAUGAUGUCUUAUGUCUCUAAACCCGAAUUUGAGAUGACACAAUUUCUUAAUGGAGUCAUCCAGGAGGUCAAAAAGUCCAAUGUCAAUGAAAGAGAUGAAAUGAAACAGAUAAUGCAGGCAUAUGCUAAACACAGAGAAGUCAGUGCCCAAGAAUCUGUGGCAAGGACAUGCAGCCUGCCACUAAAAAAGUGUUCACGCAGUGUGGUGUUCAUACAGACUGAUGAUGAUGCCCUGAAAAUGAGUCUCCCGAUGAGCAGGUUGCAGAGCAUGGCACCAGAUGAUGAAAAUGUGUGGAUGUCUGGAUUGCCAGAAAAAUAUGCAAACAGACCCAGAACACCUGAGUUUGAAAGAAUGUGUUUGGCUGAAUUUGCUUCAGAGUACAGGAUUCUCUACAGCUGGCAAACAGAAUCAAAAAAUGCCAUCCCUCUUUUGAAUAACAUGGGUUAUAUUCAAAAGAGAACAAGAGGGAAACCUGCAAUAAUCAGAUAUCCUCGGUUCUCAGAAAAGAAACAACCAGAGAAGUUUUAUAGCAGACUACUAAAACUUUAUUUUCCACAUCGAUCAAAUGAUGACCUUAAAAACACAAAUACCCCACAUCCGAACAGAUCUACAAAAGUGGACGAAAACAUGGUUUUGCAGUACGGCCAAUUGUUACCUUUAACAAAAAGCGUUAUGAAAGCCAUGGCAAAACAAUGGAAAGGGCACUGGAACAGAUUGAACAACAAGGCCCACUUAUCAAUGCAUGGAACACUUUUGCACCUGAGGUUGAAGUAG